RNAcentral lists this long non-coding RNA (203 nucleotides) under Lathyrus oleraceus (garden pea). RNAcentral describes it as "Pisum sativum (pea) long non-coding RNA (PSAT_LNC002431)". The record is from RNAcentral. Lineage: Eukaryota; Viridiplantae; Streptophyta; Magnoliopsida; Fabales; Fabaceae.
GUCUUUUUAAUUUCUUCUAUUUUUUUGGUUUUUUUUCGUUUUCUUUUGUAGUCCUUUUUUUGUGUUUCUUAGAGUGUGUAGGUGAAAUGGUGAGAGAUACCGAGAGUUUUUCUUUUUCUUUUUAUCCUUCAGCCAGUUGGAAAAUAUGGAGAGAGAUAUCUCCAGAAGGAUUCGGUGGUUGCCCCCACCACCCCACCUUUUUU